RNAcentral lists this ribosomal RNA (462 nucleotides) under uncultured bacterium. RNAcentral's name for it is "bacterial SSU rRNA". It matches the Rfam family "Bacterial small subunit ribosomal RNA", at positions 342 to 796 of the family's 1533-position model. The record is from RNAcentral.
AGGGAGGCAGCAGUGGGGAAUUUUGGACAAUGGGGGCAACCCUGAUCCAGCCAUGCCGCGUGCAGGAUGAAGGCCUUCGGGUUGUAAACUGCUUUUGUUAGGAACGAAAAGGUAUCCAAUAACACUGGGUACUGCUAACGGUACCUAAAGAAUAAGCACCGGCUAACUACGUGCCAGCAGCCGCGGUAAUACGUAGGGUGCAAGCGUUAAUCGGAAUUACUGGGCGUAAAGCGUGCGCAGGCGGUUGUGUAAGACAGAUGUGAAAUCCCCGGGCUCAACCUGGGAACUGCAUUUGUGACUGCACAGCUAGAGUGUGUCAGAGGGGGGUAGAAUUCCACGUGUAGCAGUGAAAUGCGUAGAGAUGUGGAGGAAUACCAAUGGCGAAGGCAGCCCCCUGGGAUAACACUGACGCUCAUGUACGAAAGCGUGGGGAGCAAACAGGAUUAGAUACCCUGGUAGUCC